UAAUAUUAAAUAAAAUAAAUUCGUAUAUGCUUAAUGAUAUGGGUUAAGCGUUUCUACUAGGAGCCGAAAACUUCCUUGCUACGAAUAUGUGAUUAGUAAUA
Clostridium cadaveris is the source of this 101-nucleotide regulatory RNA element. It matches the Rfam family "Purine riboswitch aptamer". From Rfam's summary of the family: Riboswitches are metabolite binding domains within certain messenger RNAs that serve as precision sensors for their corresponding targets. The record is from Rfam. NCBI's taxonomy places the organism in Bacteria, Bacillati, Bacillota, Clostridia, Eubacteriales, Clostridiaceae.